RNAcentral lists this ribosomal RNA (419 nucleotides) under uncultured bacterium. RNAcentral describes it as "bacterial SSU rRNA". It matches the Rfam family "Bacterial small subunit ribosomal RNA", at positions 355 to 771 of the family's 1533-position model. The record is from RNAcentral.
UGAGGAAUAUUGGUCAAUGGACGCAAGUCUGAACCAGCCAUGCCGCGUGCAGGAAGACGGUCCUAUGGAUUGUAAACUGCUUUUAUUUGGGAAUAAACCCCUUUACGUGUAGAGGGCUGAAGGUACCAAAUGAAUAAGCACCGGCUAACUCCGUGCCAGCAGCCGCGGUAAUACGGAGGGUGCAAGCGUUAUCCGGAAUCAUUGGGUUUAAAGGGUCCGCAGGCGGUCCUAUAAGUCAGUGGUGAAAGCCUACAGCUCAACCGUAGAACUGCCAUUGAUACUGUAGGACUUGAAUGUGGUCGAAGUGGGCGGAAUGUGUAGUGUAGCGGUGAAAUGCUUAGAUAUUACACAGAACACCGAUAGCGAAGGCAGCUCACUAGGCCAUAAUUGACGCUCAUGGACGAAAGCGUGGGGAGCAA